Molecule: non-coding RNA, 225 nt
Organism: Castor canadensis (American beaver)
Lineage: Eukaryota; Metazoa; Chordata; Mammalia; Rodentia; Castoridae
Source: RefSeq, a predicted model, not a curated record
GGGGCUGUCCGCGUUCCGGUGGAUCCCGAGUCCCCGGCCUGCGUCACGGUGUGUCACUGUUAGAGGUACAGCACAUGUCUGGAGGUGAUGAGGAGGUUUUUGUUAUUGUAUGCUACACAGAAAGGACAAGCAAAGGCCAUAGCAGAAGAAAUAUGUGAACAAGCUGUGACUCAUGGGUUUUCUGCCGAUCUUCACUGUAUCAGUGAGUCAGAUAAGGUAAGAGCU